GCCCGCAUAGCUCAGUCGGUAGAGCAUCAGACUUUUAAUCUGAGGGUCGCGGGUUCGAAUCCCUCUGCGGGCG
RNAcentral lists this transfer RNA (73 nucleotides) under Octopus sinensis (East Asian common octopus). RNAcentral's name for it is "tRNA-Lys". It matches the Rfam family "tRNA". From Rfam's summary of the family: Transfer RNA (tRNA) molecules are approximately 80 nucleotides in length. Their secondary structure includes four short double-helical elements and three loops (D, anti-codon, and T loops). The record is from RNAcentral. Lineage: Eukaryota; Metazoa; Mollusca; Cephalopoda; Octopoda; Octopodidae.